Molecule: ribosomal RNA, 197 nt
Filed under: uncultured bacterium
Lineage: Bacteria
Description: partial 16S ribosomal RNA
Rfam family: Bacterial small subunit ribosomal RNA
Source: RNAcentral
ACGCUCGACACCUACGUGAGGCAGCAGUGGGGAAUAUUGCACAAUGGGGGAAACCCUGAUGCAGCAACGCCGCGUGAAGGAAGACGGUUUUCGGAUUGUAAACUUCUGUUCUUAGUGAAGAUAGUGACGGUAGCUAAGGAGCAAGCCACGGCUAACUACGUGCCAGAGUCGCGGUAAUCUGAGCGGGCUGGCAAGGC